GAUGAACGCUGGCGGCGUGCCUAAUACAUGCAAGUCGAGCGAACGGACGAGAAGCUUGCUUCUCUGAUGUUAGCGGCGGACGGGUGAGUAACACGUGGAUAACCUACCUAUAAGACUGGGAUAACUUCGGGAAACCGUAGCUAAUACCGGAUAAUAUUUUGAACCGCAUGGUUCAAAAGUGAAAGACGGUCUUGCUGUCACUUAUAGAUGGAUCCGCGCUGCAUUAGCUAGUUGGUAAGGUAACGGCUUACCAAGGCAACGAUGCAUAGCCGACCUGAGAGGGUGAUCGGACAAACUGGAACUGAGAAAGGGGAAAGAAUACUACGGGAGGAAGCAGGAGGGAAGCGGACGCAAGGGGAGAAAGACGGACGCAGUAACGAAGAGUGAGUGAUGAAGGUCUUAGGAUCGUAAAAAUUUGUUAUUAGGGAAGAACAAAGGGGUAAGUAAAUAUGCACGUCGAGACGGUAACUAAUAAGAAAGACAAGGCUAAAUACGUG
RNAcentral lists this ribosomal RNA (497 nucleotides) under uncultured bacterium. Its description in RNAcentral is "partial 16S ribosomal RNA". It matches the Rfam family "Bacterial small subunit ribosomal RNA", at positions 28 to 507 of the family's 1533-position model. The record is from RNAcentral.